Molecule: microRNA, 22 nt
Filed under: Ornithorhynchus anatinus (platypus)
Lineage: Eukaryota; Metazoa; Chordata; Mammalia; Monotremata; Ornithorhynchidae
Description: oan-miR-219-3p
Gene: oan-miR-219-3p
Source: miRBase by way of RNAcentral
AGAAUUGUGACUGGACAUCUGU